AAGACAGACGAGCAGUGUUCCUUCUGUUGGUGGAGAUGGUAUGAUCGAUCAAGUAUCGAAAGCUCUUGAGUUAGGGUUGUUGAUGCAGAAGAUUGUAGGUGCAUUGUUCAUGGAUUGCAGCAUCUAUGCUGUGGUGCUCGUAUGUGGUCUUUCCACGGCACAAAGACUCGGAUGGUAAAACUUCAUUUCGAACUGAAUGAAAAUGCAUGUAAGAUUACUGUCUAGUUUGACCCUAUUAGCUUGUUUGUAGGGUGAAUUGAAUAGUAAUAGAAAGUAGUGAAGAAGAAAUAUAAGUAAAACUUUGUCGUUAAAUUGUCUGGGGCUAUCUAGUCUACUUACCAAACGAACAUGUUUCGUUAUUCCUCAAUUUUGUCGUGAGCAAAGUUUUGCUCAAGUAGAUAUUUGUGAUUUUCCGAACAAGAUUUCUUUCAAGUAAUUUCAUUCUUGUCAUAUUUUUAGCAUUGUAAUCUUAAUAUUAAAGGAAGUUCCCAACAAAUUUUGCUUUUGGUCAGAAUAAAUGUGUCUCGGCAAGGAUGCG
RNAcentral lists this long non-coding RNA (538 nucleotides) under Olea europaea (common olive). RNAcentral describes it as "long non-coding RNA (OEUR_LNC009552)". Lineage: Eukaryota; Viridiplantae; Streptophyta; Magnoliopsida; Lamiales; Oleaceae. The record is from RNAcentral.